RNAcentral lists this ribosomal RNA (232 nucleotides) under uncultured bacterium. RNAcentral describes it as "partial 16S ribosomal RNA". It matches the Rfam family "Bacterial small subunit ribosomal RNA", at positions 100 to 334 of the family's 1533-position model. The record is from RNAcentral.
CGGGACGGGUGAGUAAUGCUGGGAAUCUAGCUUAUGGAGGGGGAUAACUACGGGAAACUGUAGCUAAUACCGCGUAAUAUCGAAAGAUUAAAGUGUGGGACCUUCGGGCCACAUGCCAUAGGAUGAGCCCAAGUGGGAUUAGGUAGUUGGUGAGGUAAAGGCUCACCAAGCCGACGAUCUCUAGCUGGUCUGAGAGGAUGACCAGCCACACUGGGACUGAGACACGGCCCAG